AACGAACGCUGGCGGCAUGCCUAACACAUGCAAGUCGAACGAGACCUUCGGGUCUAGUGGCGCACGGGUGCGUAACGCGUGGGAACCUGCCCUUAGGUUCGGAAUAAAUCCCCGAAAGGGGUGCUAAUACCGGAUAUUGUCUCCGGACCAAAGAUUUAUCGCCUUUGGAUGGGCCCGCGUUGGAUUAGCUAGUUGGUAGGGUAAAAGCCAACCAAGGCGACGAUCCAUAGCUGGUCUGAGAGGAUGAUCAGCCACACUGGGACUGAGACACGGCCCAGACUCCUACGGGAGGCAGCAGUGGGGAAUAUUGGACAAUGGGCGAAAGCCUGAUCCAGCAAUGCCGCGUGAGUGAUGAAGGCCUUAGGGUUGUAAAGCUCUUUUACCCGGGAUGAUAAUGACAGUACCGGGAGAAUAAGCUCCGGCUAACUCCGUG
This 433-nucleotide ribosomal RNA is filed under the name uncultured bacterium. RNAcentral describes it as "partial 16S ribosomal RNA". It matches the Rfam family "Bacterial small subunit ribosomal RNA", at positions 29 to 507 of the family's 1533-position model. The record is from RNAcentral.